Molecule: transfer RNA, 72 nt
Filed under: Treponema ruminis
Lineage: Bacteria; Pseudomonadati; Spirochaetota; Spirochaetia; Treponematales; Treponemataceae
Description: Treponema sp. Ru1 tRNA
Rfam family: tRNA
About the family: Transfer RNA (tRNA) molecules are approximately 80 nucleotides in length. Their secondary structure includes four short double-helical elements and three loops (D, anti-codon, and T loops). Further hydrogen bonds mediate the characteristic L-shaped molecular structure. tRNAs have two regions of fundamental functional importance: the anti-codon, which is responsible for specific mRNA codon recognition, and the 3' end, to which the tRNAs corresponding amino acid is attached (by aminoacyl-tRNA synthetases). tRNAs cope with the degeneracy of the genetic code in two manners: having more than one tRNA (with a specific anti-codon) for a particular amino acid; and 'wobble' base-pairing, i.e. permitting non-standard base-pairing at the 3rd anti-codon position.
Source: Rfam by way of RNAcentral
ACGCCUGUAGUUCAACGGUUAGAAUAGGGGUCUCCAAAACCCUUGAUGAGAGUUCGAUUCUUUCCGGGCGUG